UAGGGAAUCUUCGGCAAUGGGGGGAACCCUGACCGAGCAACGCCGCGUGAGAGAAGACGGUUUUCGGAUCGUAAAGCUCUGUUGUUAAGGAAGAACGAGUGUGCGAAUGGAAAGUUCAUACUGUGACGGUACUUAAUCAGAAAGGGAUGGCUAACCACGUGCCAGCAGUCGUGGUAAUACGUAGGUCCCGAAUGUUGUCCGGAGUGAUUGGGCGUAAAGCGAACGCAGGCGGUUAGAUAAGUCUGAAGUUAAAGGGAAUGGCUCAACCAGUGUAGGCUUAGGAAACUGUUUAACUGGAGAGCAGUAGGGGAGAGGGGAAUUCCAUGUGUUGCGGUGAAAUGCGUAGAUAUAUAGAGGAACACCGGUAUCGAGAGCGGCUCUCUAGUCUAUUACUGACGCUAAGGCUCGAAAACGUGUGGAGCGAUCAGG
This 429-nucleotide ribosomal RNA is filed under the name Bacteroidota bacterium. Its description in RNAcentral is "Bacteroidetes bacterium partial 16S ribosomal RNA". It matches the Rfam family "Bacterial small subunit ribosomal RNA", at positions 355 to 776 of the family's 1533-position model. Lineage: Bacteria; Pseudomonadati; Bacteroidota. The record is from RNAcentral.